CGCCUUUCCCCGGGGCUCUCCCGCCGCUCGGCCCUACCGCAUCGGCGCCUCGCGGGCUCCGCGCCCGGGCGGCGGCGCUUCGGGGCGCUCCGAUGGGCUGUGAAGGGCAGCGCGGCCGCGGGAGGGCCUUGCUCCCUCCCUGCCAGGCCGGGCCCGGCGUGCGGGGAAGAUGCCGGGGCCGCCGUGGCAGCAUCCUGGCAUGGAAGGUGAUCCCAGUGUGUGGGAUGGCUGCUGACAGCCUCAGCUCGGCAGCAUUGGGCAGGGUUGUCGCUUGGUGUUUUCGGAGCUCGCUCAGCUGAUGGCCUGCCUGCCGGAUAGACCCGAGGAAUUACUCGCUUAGUGGAAAAGGCGGAGAGCUGAUGAGCCCCUGUCCCCGGUGAAGGCGUUCGCUUUGCUUUCCUUAGGGCCCGAAUCGGGGGGAAAGCUGUGACGUGGAGCACGUCUAAGUAGAGUGUGGAGCUGAGCUGAGCCCAGUCCCGGAGGGUUUCGGUGCUGCAGUGCAAGACUUCUUUUCCAGCCCUCUGCUCCGGAAGCGGGAGCUCUGCGUAGCCAGAUCCUGGCUCCUUCCCGAGCCGUGAGCUCCCCCGGGUGGGAACAGCCGCUCCCGUGCUCCGCUCGCCUGCACCACCGACUUGUUUGGCUCCAGGUGCCGCUCAAGCUCCCAUUCAAACACUCAGCAUGGAAGAACGGUCCCUUCUGUGGAGUUUUAUGAGGAGAAGAGCUUGGGGAGGGUCUGGAUAUAAAAUAUUUUGAGGGUGAAUAAAUGCAAUCACUUGA
This is a long non-coding RNA of Gymnogyps californianus (California condor), 777 nucleotides long. RefSeq lists it as uncharacterized. The transcript is spliced from 5 exons. Lineage: Eukaryota; Metazoa; Chordata; Aves; Accipitriformes; Cathartidae. The record is from RefSeq and is a predicted model, not a curated record.